GACGAACGCUGGCGGCGUGCUUAACACAUGCAAGUCGAACGGAAAGGCCCUGCUUGCAGGGUACUCGAGUGGCGAACGGGUGAGUAACACGUGGGUGAUCUGCCCUGCACUUCGGGAUAAGCCUGGGAAACUGGGUCUAAUACCGGAUAGGAGCCAUUUUUAGUGUGAUGGUUGGAAAGUUUUUUCGGUGUAGGAUGAGCUCGCGGCCUAUCAGCUUGUUGGUGGGGUAAUGGCCUACCAAGGCGGCGACGGGUAGCCGGCCUGAGAGGGUGGACGGCCACAUUGGGACUGAGAUACGGCCCAGACUCCUACGGGAGGCAGAAGUGGGGAAUAUUGCACAAUGGGCGCAAGCCUGAUGCAGCGACGCAGCGUGGGGGAUGACGGCCUUCGGGUUGUAAACUCCUUUCGCUAGGGACGAAGCUUUUUGUGACGGUACCUAGAUAAGAAGCACCGGCUAACUACGUG
RNAcentral lists this ribosomal RNA (465 nucleotides) under uncultured bacterium. RNAcentral describes it as "partial 16S ribosomal RNA". It matches the Rfam family "Bacterial small subunit ribosomal RNA", at positions 28 to 507 of the family's 1533-position model. The record is from RNAcentral.